ACGAAAUAUAGUAAAUUUCGUCGGCUAUAGUUAUUUUUUAAUUAUUUAUUACACACUUUAGCCGACGAAUAUAUUAAUUGUUUCGUCGGCUAAAGUCUGGAAAAAAACCGACGACAUGUUUUUCGUCGGCUAACUGUGGGACUAUAGCCGACGAAAAUAAAAAUUUCGUCGGCUAAAGUCAUCACAGACGAGCUUUUCCCGACGACACUAUAGCCGACGAGCCUUCGUCGGCUAAGAUCUUAGCCGACGAAUUAAAAUAACAGGCCGACGAAAUUUUUCGUCGGCUAAAGUGCUUGUCCUGGUAGUGUUCUCUCUUUCUCCCGAACUCUUCCCUGAGUUCUCUUUAUAGCCGGGACUUUCUGCCACCAGCUGCCGCCAUCCGGCUAGCCACCGGCUACCGCUCCACUCUAGUUCGGACCCCCGCCGUCUCCUCUCUCUUCCCGGCCUAGUGUUCGAGCCGGUAGCGCUGCCGGAGAGGAGAAAACCUACCAGAAACGCCGGUUGCCCCUUCCCCAGAGUUCCCUCCUCCGGCCACCAUAGCUCGUGGUUUUUAGCUCAUCUUGUAGCUCUCAUCAAGGUUAGUGAUCCCUCAAAAGGAAUUGACUUAAUUCGAUCUUGGUAAGGAGAGAUGUUUAAUUGAAGUAGUUCUAGGGAUUUAUGGAUGUUUUGGUUCGAUUACCUUAGUUAGCCUUAGAAUUAGACUAGGUGCUAGUUAUGAAAGUUGUUGUGCAUGAUGAGAGGAUUAUUCUGUUAAAAUUUGAGAGGCAAUGGUCAUCGCUGGAGUUCGGCUGCCGGCGGAGCUGCCGCUUAGAGGUUGUUUUGCAUGUUUUCAAGUUUGUUAUAAUGAGAGGAGUUUAAUGAAGUAUAGUUUGAAAUUUUUGGAGGAGUUUUGAUAAGGUUUGGGAUUUAUCAAUGAUUAAGGAUUUAGGCGGUUAUUCGAAUGGAAAUCCGGCAAUUAGUUUAGCAGGAUUUAAACUUCAAAAAAGUUAAUUUUUGGCUAUUGGUAAGUGUGGAGUAGUGUGAGCUUUAUUAGAUUAAAAGUGGAGAAGUUGGGCAUGAGAGAUGAAAUUAUAGGCUUCCUUUUAUUUCGGAAUUUUAUUAAAGCAUUAUUCUAGUCUGGAAGCUUAAUAAUUAUUUAUUGUUCAGGACGUGAGGAGGAUCAUUUGGAGGAAGCCUCGGGUCGUCGGCAAGCAUAGCCGAGCACUGUGAGUGGACCUUUGAUUUGAAUGUCAUGCAUGCAUUAAAGUUUAUUUAAUUUUCAAAGGCAUUUUGGAGAUUUAUUAUUUUCUUGGAUUAAUGAGUUCCAUUUAUUUUUCGGGAACUCUCUUGAGCAUUUUAUUUGACAUAUGGGACAUGUCAAGUAAUUUAUAUUAUUACGCAAUAUUUCUAGGUACGGUUGGGGACUGUACUAAGCUCAAUGGAUUUUAUAUUAUUUUUGGGGAAGUGAUAUUCUUGAUCAUUUAUUAUUUUACUUCACCAUAAAAUGGUUGAUUUAUAUUAAUUAUUGCUAGCUAACUUUAUUAGCGGUCCUCAUCAUAUGUGAGUCGCUAUUAUAGCCCUAUUAGCGGUGUUCUUCAUAUAUGAGUAGAGCGUGUAGCGUGGGACGCUAUUAUAGCCUGAGAGGCAACCGAUCGGUAUAUAUAUUAAUAUGUUAGCUAGCCAUUAUUAGCGACUACUCACCAUAGGUGAGUAGAGCGUUUAGCGUGGGACGCUAUUAUAGCUUGGGAGGCUCCGACCCUAGCCUGGGAGGCUCAUUGUUAUGGUGAAACCUCUUCCCUAUUUUUAUUGAUUUAUUGGGAACCAAUGGGAUUGGUUCAUUCUUUUGUCUCUAUAUAUUUUCGGGAAAAUUUCCAAGAGUGGCAUGCAUAAAUAUUUUUCUCAAUGGAAAAUAUGGAAAAAGCAUUAAUUUGAUUUUAAGGCUCUAUCAUUAAGUCAGUAUUUUAUUAUUUAUUUUUAUCCACUCACGCUAACGUUUUAAAUGCUUCUCCCCUGGGCCUUUUAUUUUUAAAUGCCCAGUCUGCAGAGUUCGGUUUGGUGAGUGUAGGAGGCGAGUCAUAUUUUUCACCACUUCUAGUUUUCAUUCGUAGGUUACCUGUUUAACCUACUUGUGUAUUUUCUCGUUUCCUAGUAGUUGCUCUAAUAACCAUAGGAUGUCUUAAAUGAAUUUAUGUUGAUGUGUGUUAAGAGCUUAUGACUCCAUGUAGGAGUGAUGGAAAAGAUUCAUUUAGUUUGUUUGUAUGAGAACUUAAAUUCAUGAAAUUAUUUUGAAUUAUUACUUUUGUUGAGGUGGUGGAUGUUUAUUUGAGGAGCGGGUGGCUCUAGGAGAUGUGGAUUAAAUUGUUUUAGAAGUGUUUGGGUUUUUGGUGAUUUUCUUUCAGGUAGGGUUACUCAUUUUCAAGGGAGGUUAUUUCAGGUAGGGUUACUCAUUUUCAAGGGAGGUUAUGCCAAAAUUUUGGUAGAAUUUCCCUUGAGGUGGGUCCCGCAGGGUUUAUUUCAGAUUUCAAGGGGAAAUUCGGGGUAGGUCCUGACAUGCAGCGCUCGCAUUGCACAUCUCACACAGAAGGCACAUAAAUUACAGUCUAUGAGUUGGAUAUACCUGUGAUGCAGACCACUUCUAAACACUUCCUUUCAAGCAACAACAGCUUGUACCUGAAGCAACGCAUAUAUAAAAAGCACAUAAGCAUAAGACCAUAGAGGACUAUAAGUGCACUUUAACAGUUAAGAAAAAUUAACAAUAUCAUUUCCAUAGGGUUUUUUCAUCUGAUGAAACUUCUACCCUAAGAUUGGGUAAUUAAUGUAAGUCAUAUACAGAAAAGCUGAAAACUAAAUAACUCAAUGCAACAAAGCAGGUUCUUUUUUUUCACUUCUUGUUUUUCGUUGACAGUUUUUUCUUUUCACUUUUAUGACACAUACAAAUGAGACUAUUACUAUACAACCCCUUAAAAUACAGUAAUUGAUAAUAAUUGGCCAAUAUUAUACUAAUUAGCAAGAAAAAAAGAAAACAGAUCCAAAAUUCUAAUAGUUUUUCCAAUAUAGAAUAGGUACAAAUUAUACUUACUAGCCUUUAUACCCGCGAUACUCGCGUGUUUUAGUAUAGAAGUCAUGCAAUUUACUGCAAUCUCUAACCUUCCUGCACGCGUAUGCGCGUGCUAUACGCGUGCUAAAGGCCGCGCUCAUGCGUGUGGAAGACAUGUUUACUCAUCGAUUAGUUUCAUUUUGUUAUCCAUUAAGCAUUUGUAUUGUUCUUGAUUGGCUUUUACAACGUAGAAUUGUUUUAGAAGUGUUAAGAAUGUCUUCAAGUCUUUGCUUCAAUAUGCCAGGGCCUGAGUAAUUACACUUGUAUUUUCUACUUUUCAUUUGCUUUAUCUUUGUUUUAGUACUUUGGGUGCAUGUAAGCAUCAAAACUCAGGAUUUAGACGACUAUGUACAUCAAGCUUCUAGAUUUUUAAUACAAUACAGAAGAGACAAAUGAAAUUUACAUCAUAUCUAGUGCAGUUUGUAUGAAGUGAGUAUCAUACAUCUCAAACGGUAGGAAAUACUUCCUCUUCACUAAUGAAGAAAAAAAGAGAAAAAAAAAAACACCUAAAUUGCACCGAGGAGGUAAUAUAUUUUCGGUCUUCAAGCUCUCUUCCUAUAAAGGUCAUCAAUGCACCUGACGAAUCUAGACUAAGAAAAGUAAAAUUAUAAUUACAAAGAGGUAGCAGGCAUGUUGGAAUAGCCGAACAAAGACGACUUACAAUCUUCAAUCUGCAAAAAGAACUAUCUACAAUCUUAAAAAAAAAAAAAAAAAAAAAAAAAAA
RNAcentral lists this long non-coding RNA (3800 nucleotides) under Fragaria vesca (wild strawberry). Its description in RNAcentral is "long non-coding RNA (FVES_LNC005555)". Lineage: Eukaryota; Viridiplantae; Streptophyta; Magnoliopsida; Rosales; Rosaceae. The record is from RNAcentral.